AUAUUUGGACUUCUUGACCGAUUGACGCAUAUAGCUAUAGUAGCGGUUGUUGUUUGUAUACCUUCAGUUCUUUUUUUACACUUGUCUUGCUACUAUAGUUUAGCUGCAUAUAUACUUUCAGUUGUUCAUUACAGUAGCGGUAGUUGUGCUUUCAUUUAUAGUUCUAUCUCUUUCGUUCAUUAUUGUUGCUAUUGUAUUUAGUAUUACACUUACCCAUAUUGUUGUUUAUCUCUUCCUGAUCCGGUGAGUACUCCUCGCCUUCAUCGGCUUGCGGUACCCACUGGGAGGGGAAACAUGUUUACAUGUUCUCACCUCCCCCACCAUUUUUCAGAUAUUGCGGGCGGUGAGGUUGAGACGAGACGUGAGGUACGUUCGUAGCGGUCGAUAGAGCUUGCGAUCCAGGUUAUUCGGUUUAGUUUUUACCCUUAUUAUUUCUAUUGAUAUAUAGCUUAGUCGGUUUAUAUGGUUCAGUAUUUCAUUAUAUUAAAAUAUUCAAGAUUUCAGUUGGUUUUCCGAAUGAGACAAUGAUUUCUGGAUUUUCAUAAAAUGAAAAGGUUUUCUACCCCUCGUGAUAGCGUGUUUUAAAAGAAAAGAGUUUCCUUAUGAAUAACGGCUUUCAAACAGCUUUCUCGUGGUUUUUGUAACUUAGUAUUUCAAAAUCAGUUUCCGGGUAGGAAUCAUUUUAACUGAUAGAUGUGGAUUCAUGAUUAAGACUAUGUGAAUGGACCUGUGGUGAAUGGUGUAUGAAUAUAAAACUGUUGGAUGUUUGUAUGUUCAUUUAGUUGUGGUUGUAUUAUGUUUGUACUCUUGUACUUGUGCGACGCCGUGCAAAUACAGGGGAGAUUCUGUCCGUGUGAGCAGUGGAA
This 866-nucleotide long non-coding RNA is filed under the name Ananas comosus (pineapple). Its description in RNAcentral is "long non-coding RNA (ACOM_LNC034109)". The record is from RNAcentral. Lineage: Eukaryota; Viridiplantae; Streptophyta; Magnoliopsida; Poales; Bromeliaceae.